Molecule: ribosomal RNA, 241 nt
Filed under: Achromobacter xylosoxidans
Lineage: Bacteria; Pseudomonadati; Pseudomonadota; Betaproteobacteria; Burkholderiales; Alcaligenaceae
Description: partial 23S ribosomal RNA
Rfam family: Bacterial large subunit ribosomal RNA
Source: RNAcentral
GCGACUAAGUGCAUAUGGUGGAUGCCUUGGCGAUCACAGGCGAUGAAGGACGUAGUAGCCUGCGAAAAGCUACGGGGAGCUGGCAAACAAGCUUUGAUCCGUAGAUGUCCGAAUGGGGAAACCCACUCCGUAAGGAGUAUCCCUGGCUGAAUACAUAGGCCAGUGGAAGCGAACCGGGUGAACUGAAACAUCUCAGUAGCUCGAGGAAAAGAAAUCAACCGAGAUUCCGAAAGUAGUGGCG